GAGAUACGAGUGGCCCUCACCUUUGAACCUGCUUUCAAAUUGUUCCCACAUCCCGGAUGUGGAUAAAACAGCCCCCGCUGCUGGGCCCGGCUGCGUACCCUCUCGUCUCGCAGCUCUAGCGAGAUAGAGAAGCUGAAGGAGCUUAAUGAAAAGGACUUGGAGGUACCAGGCUAGAGACAAGCAUCCAGAGGUUAAGAUUUGCUGCUGUUGGAGUUACUGAUUCUUUGGCCACUGAUUUAGAUGGACAAAGAAUGAGGCUGUACUUCUGUAAAGAGCCUCAAAGAAGCUUCCAUCUGUAGAAAACCCUACAAGAAAAACACGGAGCACUUUUUGGAAAUU
This 339-nucleotide long non-coding RNA is filed under the name Apteryx owenii (little spotted kiwi). RNAcentral describes it as "lncRNA (ENSAOWG00000006193.1)". Lineage: Eukaryota; Metazoa; Chordata; Aves; Apterygiformes; Apterygidae. The record is from RNAcentral.